AACUCUGACCGAGCAACGCCGCGUGAACGAUGAAGUAUUUAGGUACGUAAAGUUCUUUUAUUAAAGAAGAAAAAAUGAUGGAAAAAUCAUUCUGACGGUAUUUAAUGAAUAAGCCCCGGCUAACUAUGUGCCAGCAGCUGCGGUAAUACAUGGGGGGCAAGCGUUAUCCGGAUUUAUUGGGCGUAAAGGGUGCGUAGGCGGUUAAAUAAGUCUAUGGUAUAAGUUCAACGCUUAACGUUGUGAUGCUAUAGAAACUGUUUGACUAGAGUUGGAUAGAGGCAAGUGGAAUUCCAUGUGUAGCGGUAAAAUGCGUAAAUAUAUGGAGGAACACCAGUAGCGAAGGCGGCUUGCUGGGUCUUAACUGACGCUGAGGCACGAAAGCGUGGGGAGCAAACAGGAUUAGAUACCCUGGUAGUCCACGCCGUAAACGAUGAGUACUAAGUGUUGGGUUAAACCAGUGCUGAAGUUAACACAUUAAGUACUCCGCCUGAGUAGUACGUACGCAAGUAUGAAACUUAAAGGAAUUGACGGGACUCCGCACAAGCGGUGGAUCAUGUUGUUUAAUUCGAAGAUACACGAAAAACCUUACCAGGUCUUGACAUACUCUGCAAAGCUAUAGAAAUAUAGUGGAGGUUAUCAGGGAUACAGGUGGUGCAUGGUUGUCGUCAGCUCGUGUCGUGAGAUGUUGGGUUAAGUCCCGCAACGAGCGCAACCCUUAUCACUAGUUACCAUCAUUUAGUUGGGCACUUUAGUGAGACUGCCAAUGAUAAAUUGGAGGAAGGUGGGGAUUACGUCAAAUCAUCAUGCCCCUUAUGACCUGGGCUACAAACGUGAUACAAUGGCUGUUACAAAGAGUAGCUGAAACGUGAGUUUUUAGCAAAUCUCAAAAAAACAGUCUCAGUUCGGAUUGAAGUCUGCAACUCGACUUCAUGAAGUCGGAAUCGCUAGUAAUCGCGAAUCAGCAUGUCGUGGUGAAUACGUUCUCGGGGUUUGUACACACCGCCCGUCAAACCACGAAAGUUGACAAUACCCAAAACCAGUAGCCUAACUUGCAAAAGAGGGAACUGUCUAAGGUAGGGUUGAUGAUUGGGGUUAAGUCGUAACAAGGUAUCCCUACCGGAAGGUGGGGAUGGAUCACCUCCUUUCUAAGGAAAAUAUCAUCUUCAGUUGUGAAAGACUUAAAAAAAGUUUUUUAUUUUUUAAGAUAAAAAUCAAUAAUGGCUUGGGCCUAUAGCUCAGUUGGUUAGAGCACACGCCUGAUAAGCGUGAGGUCGAUGGUUCGAGUCCAUUUAGGCCCACCAAAAUAUUUAUUUUAAAAAAAA
This 1322-nucleotide small RNA is filed under the name Candidatus Phytoplasma prunorum. Its description in RNAcentral is "bacterial SSU rRNA". The stretch from base 1 to 1145 matches the Rfam family "Bacterial small subunit ribosomal RNA", at positions 379 to 1533 of the family's 1533-position model. Lineage: Bacteria; Bacillati; Mycoplasmatota; Mollicutes; Acholeplasmatales; Acholeplasmataceae. The record is from RNAcentral.